GCGAGUGAAGCGGCAAUAGCUCAAAUUUGAAAUCUGGCGUCUUCGGCGUCCGAGUUGUAAUUUGAAGAAGGUAUCUUUGGUUUUGGCUCUUGUCUAUGUUUCUUGGAACAGGACGUCACAGAGGGUGAGAAUCCCGUGCGAUAAGAUGCCCAAUUCCAUGUAAAGUUCCUUCGACGAGUCGAGUUGUUUGGGAAUGCAGCUCUAAGUGGGUGGUAAAUUCCAUCUAAAGCUAAAUAUUGGCGAGAGACCGAUAGCGAACAAGUACUGUGAAGGAAAGAUGAAAAGAACUUUGAAAAGAGAGUGAAAAAGUACGUGAAAUUGUUGAAAGGGAAGGGCUUGAGGUCAGACUUGGUUUACCAGGCCAGCAUCAGUUUGGAUGGCAGGAUAAUAGCAGGGGAAAGUGGCACCACUUCGGUGGUGUGUUAUAGCCUUUGUUGAUACUGCCUGUCUAGACUGAGGACUGCGUCUUUGACUAGGAUGCUGGCAUAAUGACCUUAAGCCGCCC
Molecule: ribosomal RNA, 505 nt
Filed under: [Candida] sp. GY28L11
Lineage: Eukaryota; Fungi; Ascomycota; Saccharomycetes; Saccharomycetales
Description: eukaryotic LSU rRNA
Rfam family: Eukaryotic large subunit ribosomal RNA
Source: RNAcentral